GGUGAGUAACGCGUGGGAACGUGCCCUGAGGUACGGAAUAACUGCGGGAAACUGCAGCUAAUACCGUAUGAGCCCCGUGAGGGGAAGAUUAUCGCCUUAGGAGCGGCCCGCGUCGGAUUAGCUAGUUGGUGGGGUAACGGCUUACCAAGGCUUCGAUCCGUAGCUGGUCUGAGAGGACGAUCAGCCACACUGGGACUGAGACACGGCCCAGACUCCUACGGGAGGCAGCAGUGGGGAAUCUUGCGCAAUGGGGGCAACCCUGACGCAGCCAUGCCGCGUGAAUGAUGAAGGCCUUAGGGUUGUAAAGUUCUUUUGCCCGUGACGAUGAUGACGGUAACGGGAGAAUAAGCUCCGGCUAACUUCGUG
This 366-nucleotide ribosomal RNA is filed under the name uncultured bacterium. RNAcentral describes it as "bacterial SSU rRNA". It matches the Rfam family "Bacterial small subunit ribosomal RNA", at positions 105 to 507 of the family's 1533-position model. The record is from RNAcentral.